Cucurbita maxima (winter squash) is the source of this 82-nucleotide non-coding RNA. The record is from the annotation of a RefSeq genome assembly. NCBI's taxonomy places the organism in Eukaryota, Viridiplantae, Streptophyta, Magnoliopsida, Cucurbitales, Cucurbitaceae.
GUCGAUAUGUUCGAGUGGUUAAGGAGACAGACUUGAAACCUGUUGGGCUUUGCUUCCGCAGGUUCGAAUCCUGCUGCCGACG